RNAcentral lists this microRNA precursor (65 nucleotides) under Chrysemys picta bellii (western painted turtle). RNAcentral's name for it is "Cpi-Mir-96-P2_pre stem-loop". It matches the Rfam family "mir-182 microRNA precursor family", at positions 8 to 71 of the family's 77-position model. RNAcentral also lists the same sequence under 4 other names. Lineage: Eukaryota; Metazoa; Chordata; Testudines; Emydidae. The record is from RNAcentral.
UUUGGCAAUGGUAGAACUCACACUGGUGAGGUAUCAGGAUCCGGUGGUUCUAGACUUGCCAACUA